UUAAAGGAUAGAACCUCCUCCGGGAGUCCGGUUAGAGAUGGGAGCCGGAAAGAGCUGAACGUGCCCCGAGAACGAGUGAGCCGAAAGCUAGGGUCUCGGGCAACCCCGGCGGCGCCCCGCCUUCGAGGCGGCGGGGAAGACCCUGCAGACUCUGGUGGACUCCAGGCGGCGUAGAGGGGGAGCAGCCGGAGGCGGGUGCUCCCAGCGCACUGGCCCUCGGAGAAGCCGCCCAAUUACGAGCACUCGCCACCGAGGCUCCCGAGACGCCCAGCAGCAAGGGCAGCGACCUGAAGCUUCACCCCCCUCCUUCCUCGACCCGGAUCUCCUCCGUCUAGGCUAGCGCGUCUCAGAGGACCCCACACCUCGCGCUCCCAGCUCCGGGUCCGGACUCGCCGGCGUCCCCACCCUCCAGCGCCGCCGCCUGGCGCCGGCUUCUCGCUCCUCUUGCCUUCGUCGUCCCGCGUCCGGAAGCGCGAUGGCCUCACCGCAGCCCCGGAAACAGCGAUUCCUCAGUAGGAAUGACAGUUCCUGAAAAUGUUAAUUCCGAUUAACAGUGUGGGAAUGAGCAAGGCAUUGACAAAGGAAUGGUUUGAAAACAAGAUUUUGAAGUGGCAGCUAACCUGGUAUGACAGCUGGCUGGCAUAGGCAAGGGGGAGAUGUGUUGGUCUUCUGAACUGGAGAUGUGUUUUUGCAACAAUUCUGGAAAAUUUUCAGAUGAAGAAACUGAGGCACAGAGAGUGAACAACUUGCCCACUUGGCCCAGCAGAUGAGUGGCAGGCCAGGUUCAAGCCCUGGUCAUCGGUUUGCAUUUCAAUUCCACACCUGCUGUUUUUCAUAAUAAUAAAAGAAAAUGUU
Molecule: long non-coding RNA, 855 nt
Organism: Lutra lutra (Eurasian river otter)
Lineage: Eukaryota; Metazoa; Chordata; Mammalia; Carnivora; Mustelidae
Exons: 5
Source: RefSeq, a predicted model, not a curated record